Molecule: RNase P RNA, 371 nt
Filed under: Actinomycetota bacterium
Lineage: Bacteria; Bacillati; Actinomycetota
Description: RNase P RNA component class A
Rfam family: Bacterial RNase P class A
About the family: Ribonuclease P (RNase P) is a ubiquitous endoribonuclease, found in archaea, bacteria and eukarya as well as chloroplasts and mitochondria. Its best characterised activity is the generation of mature 5'-ends of tRNAs by cleaving the 5'-leader elements of precursor-tRNAs. Cellular RNase Ps are ribonucleoproteins.
Source: RNAcentral
UGAGUCGACCCAGGUGGCCGCGGCGUUGGGACUCUGUGUAAAAGCAGCGUCUACGGCGUCGAGGAAGGUCGGGGCUCCAUAGGGCAGGGUGCUGGCGUGAAGCCAGGCGUUGCGAGACGACGGAAAGUGCAACAGAAAGUAAACCGCCGAUGGGCCGGGAAACCGGUCACAGGCAAGGGUGAAACGGUGCGGUAAGAGCGCACCAGCGUCCCGGGCGACCGGGCGGCUAGGUAAACCCCACCCGGAGCAAGGUCGAGCAGGGAUCGGACAGCCCGUCCAAUGAUCCCGGGUAGACCGCAUAGAUGGAUGGCCACCCAAGCGGCACAUUGUGCCGCCGGACAGAACCCCGCCUACGGCGGUCGGCUCACCGC